Molecule: non-coding RNA, 664 nt
Organism: Pelobates cultripes (western spadefoot toad)
Lineage: Eukaryota; Metazoa; Chordata; Amphibia; Anura; Pelobatidae
Source: the annotation of a GenBank genome assembly
AAUAUAUAUACAAAAGACGUAUAUAUAUCAAUCAACUGAAGACAAGAAGAAAUUAAGAAAGAGUCUACAUUAACAUCCAUUCAUCUAGUUUUUUACAUUGGCUAGCCAGCCAGUCUUCUAUUCAAGUUUUGUUCCCACUUCAAGGGGGGAGAGAGAAGAAUCGAGUUACAAAGCUAUUUUGGAACUGGGAAAACAAACUUGAAGAGAAAAAAAGAAUCUAGACUGUGUUUGUAAGAAAAAGAAAGUUUUCAAAUCAAAGACUGUACAAGACUAUUUUCUACAACUGAGACAAAAAGCACAAGAUACAACGUGAAUUCUAGAAGCAAGCACGUGGCAGACAUUGGCAAGCGUCCAAGCAAAGAACUGCGCAGCUGUGUGGAUGAAGCAACGAAAUAGACAGAAAUAACUGAUCUGGUAAAGCGUGACAGAUCCUUGUGGCAAUAAAUCAGGAAAGUAUUCCUUCAGACAACUGGACAUCGACUGUUGGAAAGAGACUUUUCAUCUAAUCUGCAAACUGUGAUGGAAGAUUCUACAGAGUUCAUUCGAUACAGAAGAUUAACAGACUUACAAAGAAAUAAAAGAUUGACACUAACAUACAUAUAUAUUCCUAAAUAUUAAUGAAGAAAACAGACAAUGAAAAGUUAUUUAACAGUUAUGAGUAUUA